This 118-nucleotide ribosomal RNA is filed under the name Lepisosteus oculatus (spotted gar). The record is from RNAcentral. Lineage: Eukaryota; Metazoa; Chordata; Actinopteri; Semionotiformes; Lepisosteidae.
GUCAGCAGCUAUAUCACCCUGCAACUCACAAGUGACAACCCACUGAAGCUCAGCAGGUGAGAGCCUGGUCAGUACCUGCAUGGGAGACCACUUAGGAAAGCUAAAGUUGCUGCUUAAA